Long non-coding RNA from Dreissena polymorpha, 5037 nucleotides. RefSeq lists it as uncharacterized. The record is from RefSeq and is a predicted model, not a curated record. NCBI's taxonomy places the organism in Eukaryota, Metazoa, Mollusca, Bivalvia, Myida, Dreissenidae. The transcript has 2 exons.
ACUUCUUGGGAACAUUGGUGAUUCCUUUUGAGUGUAAAUGCUUUCAAUAAAUGUUCAUAGACAUUCACUAAACAGGUCAGUUCACUAUAUUCUCGUAACCAUGGACUAGCUGUAGUUCAUUGGCAUGUAAUUAAUAGGUCCCACCCAUCAAAUUACUCUCUUACAAAUGAUAUAUAUAAUGCGGACAAAUAUUAAUAAAACAUCAGAAAAUGACCAACACAUUGUUGUUUGAGCAGAAAUCCACUCAUUCUUGUGUUCAUGAAAUUGACGGAUGAUGAAAAACCAAAAAAGUCCAUGCUGACAAAUAUAAAUGAUUUGGCAGUUAAAGAACUACUUGUAUCAAUGAAGCAGUGAUAUGGCAGUAGUAGAGCUACAUGUAAGCAGUGGUAUGGCAGUAAUAGAGUUACAUGUAUCAAUGAAGCAGUGGUAUGGCAGUAAUAGAGCUGCAUGUAUCAAUGAAGCAGUGGUAUGUCAGUUAUAGAGCUACAUGUAUCAAUGAAGCAGUGGUAUGGCAGUAGUAGAGCUACAUGUAUCAAUGAAGCAGUGGUAUGGCAGUAAUAGAGUUGCAUGUAUCAAUGAAGCAGUGGUAUGGCAGUAAUAGAGCUGCAUGUAUCAAUGAAGCAGUGGUAUGGCAGUAAUAGAGCUACAUGUACCAAUUGAGCAGUGAUAUGGCAGUAAUAGAGCUACUUGUAUCAAUGAAGCAGUGGUAUGGCAGUAAUAGAGCUACAUGUAUCAAUAAAGCAGUGGUAUGGCAGUAGUAGAGCUACAUGUAUCAAUGAAGCAGUGAUAUGGCAGUGAUAGAGCUACAUGUAUCAUUGAAGCAGUGGUAUGGCAGUAAGAGAGCUACAUGUAUCAAUGAAGCAGUGGUAUGGCAGUAAUAGAGCUGCAUGUAUCAAUGAAGCAGUGGUAUGGCAGUAAUAUAGCUACAUGUAUCAAUGAAGCAGUGGUAUGGCUGUAAUAGAGCUACAUGUAGCAAUGAAGCAGUGAUAUGGCAGUAAUAGAGCUACAUGUAUCAAUGAAGCAGUUGUAUAGCAGUAAUAGAGCUACAUGUAUCAAUGAAGCAGUGGUAUGGCAGUAGGAGAGCUACAUGUAUCAAUGAAGCAGUGAUAUGGCAGUAAUAGAGCUACAUGUAUCAAUGAAGCAUUGGUAUGGCAGUAAUAGAGCUACAUGUAUCAAUGAAGCAGUGGUAUGGCAGUAAUAGGGCUACAUGUAUCAAUGAAGCAGUGGUAUGGUAGUAAUAGAGCUGCAUGUAUCAAUGAAGCAGUGGUAUGGCAGUAAUAGAGCUGCAUGUAUCAAUGAAGCAGUGGUAUGUCAGUUAUAGAGCUACAUGUAUCAAUGAAGCAGUGGUAUGGUAGUAAUAGAGCUGCAUGUAUCAAUGAAGCAGUGGUAUGGUAGUAAUAGAGCUGCUUGUAUCAAUGAAGCAGUGGUAUGGUAGUAAUAGAGCUGCAUGUAUCAAUGAAGCAGUGGUAUGGCAGUUAUAGAGCUGCAUGUAUCAAAUGAAGCAGUGGUAUGGCUGUAAUAGAACUACAUGUAUCAAUGAAGCAGUGGUAUGGAGGUUAUAGAGCUACAUGUAUCAAUGAAGCAGUGGUAUGGCAGUUAUAGAGCUACAUGUAUCAAUGAAGCAGUGGUAUGGCAGCAAUAGAGCUGCAUCUAUCAAUGAAGCAGUGGCAUGGCAGUAAUAGAGCUACAUGUAUCAAUGAAGCAGUGGUAUGGCAGUGAAAGAGCUACAUGUAUCAAUGAAGCAGUGGUAUGGCAGUAAUAGAGCUACAUGUACCAAUGAAGCAGUCGUAUAGCAGUUAUAGAGCUUCAUGUAUCAAUGAAGCAGUGGUUAGGCAGUAAUAGAGCUACUUGUAUCAAUGAAGCAGUGGUAUGGCAGUAAUAGAGCUACUUGUAUCAAUAAAGCAGUGGUAUGGCAGUAAUAGAGCUACUUGUAUCAAUGAAGCAGUGGUAUGGCAGUAAUAGAGCUACUUGUAUCAAUGAAGCAGUGGUAUGGCAGUAAAAGAGCUAUAUGUAUCAAUGAAGCAGUGGUAUGGCAGUAAAAGAGCUACAUGUAUCAAUGAAGCAGUUGUAUAGCAUUAAUAGAGCUUCAUGUAUCAAUGAAGCAGUGGUAUGGCUGUUAUAGAGCUACAUGUACCAAUUGAGCAGUGAUAUGGCAGUAAUAGAGCUACAUGUUUCAAUUAAGCAGUGGUAUGGCAGUAAUAGAGCUACAUGUAUCAAUGAAGCAGUGGUAUGGCAGUGAUAGAGCUGCAUGUAUCAAUGAAACAGUGGUAUGGCAGUAAUAGAGCUGCAUGUAUCAAUGAAGCAGUGGUAUUGUAGUAAUAGAGCUACAUGUAUCAAUGAAGCAGUGGUAUGGCAGUAGUAGAGCUACAUGUAUCAAUGAAGCAGUGAUAUGGCAGUGAUAGAGCUACAUGUAUCAUUGAAGCAGUGGUAUGGCAGUAAUAGAGCUACAUGUAUCAAUGAAGCAGUGGUAUGGCAGUAAUAGAGCUGCAUGUAUCAAUGAAGCAGUGGUAUGGCAGUAAUAAAGCUACAUGUAUCAAUGAAGCAGUGGUAUGGCUGUAAUAGAGCUACAUGUAGCAAUGAAGCAGUGAUAUGGCAGUAAUAGAGCUACAUGUAUCAAUGAAGCAGUUGUAUAGCAGUAAUAGAGCUACAUGUAUCAAUGAAGCAGUGGUAUGGCAGUAGUAGAGCUACAUGUAUCAAUGAAGCAGUGAUAUGGCAGUGAUAGAGCUACAUGUAUCAAUGAAGCAGUGGUAUGGCAGUAAUAGGGCUACAUGUAUCAAUGAAGCAGUGGUAUGGUAGUAAUAGAGCUGCAUGUAUCAAUGAAGCAGUGGUAUGGCAGUAAUAGAGCCGCAUGUAUCAAUGAAGCAGUGGUAUGUCAGUUAUAGAUCUACAUGUAUCAAUGAAGCAGUGGUAUGGCAGUAAUAGAGCUACAUGUAUCAAUGAAGCAGUGGUAUGGUAGUAAUAGAGCUGCAUGUAUCAAUGAAGCAGUGGUAUGGUAGUAAUAGAGCUGCUUGUAUCAAUGAAGCAGUGGUAUGGUAGUAAUAGAGCUGCAUGUAUCAAUGAAGCAGUGGUAUGGCAGUUAUAGAGCUGCAUGUAUCAAAUGAAGCAGUGGUAUCGCUGUAAUAGAACUACAUGUAUCAAUGAAGCAGUGGUAUGGAGGUUAUAGAGCUACAUGUAUCAAUGAAGCAGUGGUAUGGCAGUUAUAGAGCUACAUGUAUCAAUGAAGCAGUGGUAUGGCAGCAAUAGAGCUGCAUCUAUCAACGAAGCAGUGGCAUGGCAGUAAUAGAGCUACAUGUAUCAAUGAAGCAGUGGUAUGGCAGUGAAAGAGCUACAUGUAUCAAUGAAGCAGUAGUAUGGCAGUAAUAGAGCUACAUGUACCAAUGAAGCAGUCGUAUAGCAGUAAUAUCGCUUCAUGUAUCAAUGAAGCAGUGGUUAGGCAGUAAUAGAGCUACUUGUAUCAAUGAAGCAGUGGUAUGGCAGUUAUAGAGCUACUUGUAUCAAUAAAGCAGUGGUAUGGCAGUAAUAGAGCUACUUGUAUCAAUGAAGCAGUGGUAUGGCAGUAAUAGAGCUACUUGUAUCAAUGAAGCAGUGGUAUGGCAGUAAAAGAGCUAUAUGUAUCAAUGAAGCAGUGGUAUGGCAGUAAAAGAGCUACAUGUAUCAAUGAAGCAGUUGUAUAGCAGUAAUAGAGCUUCAUGUAUCAAUGAAGCAGUGGUAUGGCUGUAAUAGAGCUACAUGUACCAAUUGAGCAGUGAUAUGGCAGUAAUAGAGCUACAUGUAUCAAUUAAGCAGUGGUAUGGCAGUAAUAGAGCUACAUGUAUCAAUGAAGCAGUGGUAUGGCAGUGAUAGAGCUGCAUGUAUCAAUGAAACAGUGGUAUGGCAGUAAUAGAGCUGCAUGUAUCAAUGAAGCAGUGGUAUUGUAGUAAUAGAGCCUACAUGUAUCAAUGAAGCAGUGGUAUGACAGUAGUAGAGCUACAUGUAUCAAUGAAGCAGUGGUAUGGAAGUAAUAUAGCUACAUGUAUCAAUGAAGCAGAGGUAUGGCAGUAAUAGAGCUACAUGUAGCAAUGAAGCAGUGGUAUGGGAGUAAUAGAGGUACAUGUAUCAAUGUAGCAGUGGUAUGGCAGUUAUAAAGCUACAUGUAUCAAUGAAGCAGUGGUAUGGGUUCUGCCAGUUAUUAUUUUAAUUUAGAAAUGUUCAUCUUUAAGUUUACACAAGUUAUAAAAAUACUACAUAUAUUUUACUUCAAAUAUGCCUUUGUGGUCAUAAGAUAAGGUUACUGGCGGUACAUUUUCUUCUUAGUUUGGUGAGGACAGGGUGUAAUUAUGUGUACAUUGUUGUAGUUAUGCCCCCCUUCGAAGAAGAGGGGGUAUAUUGCUUUGCACAUGUCGGUCGGUCUGUCGGUAUGUCGGACUGUCGGUCGGUCCACCAGGUGGUUUCCGGAUGAUAGCUCAAGAACGCUUGGGCAAGGAUCAUGAAACUUCAUAGGUACAUUGAUCAUGACUGGCAGAUGACCCCUAUUGAUUUUGAGGUCACUAGGUCAAAGGUCAAGGUGACCCGAAAUAGUAAAAUGGUUUCCGGAUGAUAACUCAAGAACGCUUAGGCCAAGGAUCAUGAAACUUGAUAGGUAGAUUGAUCAUGACUUGCAGUUGACCCCUAUUGAUUUUCAGGUCACUAGGUCAAAGGUCAAGGUCAUGGUGGCCCGAAAUAGUAAAAUGGUUUCCGGAUGAUAACUCAAGAACGCUUAUGGCUAGGAUCAUGAAACUUCAUAGGUACAUUGAUCAUGACUGGCAGAUGAUAACUCAAGAACGCUAAAUUAUGCCUAGGAUCAUGAAUCUUCGUAGGCAGAUUGAUAAUGGCUGGCAGAUGACCCCUAUUGAUUUUCAGGUCACUAGGUCAAAGGUCAAGGUCACGGUGACCCGAAAUAGUAAAAUGGUUUCCGGAUGAUAACUCAAGAACGCUUAUGCCUAGGAUCAUGAAACUUCAUAUGUACAUUAAUCAUGACUCGCAGAUGACCCCUAUUGAUUUUCAGGUCACUAGGUCAAA